Molecule: ribosomal RNA, 459 nt
Filed under: uncultured bacterium
Lineage: Bacteria
Description: partial 16S ribosomal RNA
Rfam family: Bacterial small subunit ribosomal RNA
Source: RNAcentral
CCUACGGUAGGCAGCAGUGAGGAAUAUUGGUCAAUGGGCGCGAGCCUGAACCAGCCAAGUCGCGUGAGGGAAGACGGUCCUAUGGAUUGUAAACCUCUUUUGUCGGGGAGCAAAAGACGCCACGCGUGGCGUUCCGAGAGUACCCGAAGAAAAAGCAUCGGCUAACUCCGUGCCAGCAGCCGCGGUAAUACGGAGGAUGCGAGCGUUAUCCGGAGUUAUUGGGUUUAAAGGGUGCGCAGGCGGAAGAUCAAGUCAGAGGUAAAAUUGAGAGGCUCAACCUCUUCGAGCCGUUGAAACUGGUUUUCUUGAGUGAGCGAGAAGUAUGCGGAAUGCGUGGUGUAGCGGUGAAAUGCAUAGAUAUCACGCAGAACUCCGAUUGCGAAGGCAGCAUACCGGCGCUCAACUGACGCUCAUGCACGAAAGUGUGGGGAGCAAACAGGAUUAGAUACCCGAGUAGUC